ACACUACCACUUGAAUCCAUGUGUGCAAUUGUUCUCCUUCACCUCCUUCUUCCAUUUUCAUUAAUUUCCUCCUCCUUCUUCUUCCUCUUCCUUCUUCCUUCAGGGUGAUUUUCAGGUUCAUUGCUAAAAAGGUGGUAUGGAUAUAUAAGAGGGCACAAGAAAAUAAAAGGUGAUUUUCAGGUUCAUGACCACUCUCGCCAAAAGACUCUUUGAUCUGCCCCCAGAACAGUUGAGAAGCUUCGCACCAGCCACCUCCAAUUAACAAACACAUUCUUCAUUCUAGCUAACAAUUUUUAGUGUAUCUUGUUCCGUUUGGGUAAUUUUAAUUUUUUUUUUCUUAUUGAAUCAAACAUUAAAACACAGGAACACACAAAAUAUGUUUGUAAUAUCAUGUAAUAUAUUAAUUUUAUUAAAAACUUCUGUAAUAUAGGAAUGAUUUUGUCUUAACAUAUAAUAUAAUAUACACCCUGUUUAUAUCCUCUGUUAAUUGUAUAGUAAAUUUGGUAAUUUUGUUGGUGCAGGGAGAAUCAGUACAGGAUUGGAGAGAGAUCUCAACAUAUUUUUCAUGGUGCUUGCUACCAUACCACAAGACUUAGUUUGGGUAUGAUACAUGAGCUGAAGUGGACCAAUCAAACAAAUCUAAAGUGUAAUUAAUUAAGCAUUUUCUCCUUUUAUUUUUUUUCUGUGAAAUAAAUGUUAUUAAAAAUUACAUUCGUUACUUAGUAGUCCUUGGUUAAUAAAACAAUUGAGAAUGACCCUCCUCCUCCUCCUUCAUCAAGUUCUUCAUCUUCAUCAUCAAAAAAAUUUCCAGAAAAUCAAACUCUGCACAAUGACAAGCUUUGUUUGGCGAAACCCAGUAAAAACAAAACGAUAAAAAAACAUCCAAAAUCGAGAUCAGAGCACCACCGCUGUCAAGUUUGAAGCUUUGUAACAACCAUCAAAUUAGAGAAUCAAAAACCCCAAAACCCAGAAGGAAGAGGAGGAGGCACCGUCUUAGAUCUCUCGGUCGAUUUCGAAUCUCGAUCUACGAAGGAUGUGGGUUGAGCGAUGGUGGGGAUUCAACCCAGAUCAGACCAAACCCCAGAUCGAGGAGGAGGAACCAUCUUAGAUCUCUCCAUCGUUUUCCAAUUUCAAUCUGUGAAGGAAGUGGGUCAAGCUCUCUAUCUACAAAGGACGUGGGUCGAGCUUUUGGGGUCGAGGUCGAUGGGCGGUGGUGAGGAUUCAACGUCUGAG
This 1233-nucleotide long non-coding RNA is filed under the name Lotus japonicus. RNAcentral's name for it is "long non-coding RNA (LJAP_LNC000549)". The record is from RNAcentral. Lineage: Eukaryota; Viridiplantae; Streptophyta; Magnoliopsida; Fabales; Fabaceae.